UGAAUUUUAAGUUAAUAAAAACUAGAAAUCUUCCAAAUUUCCAAUAAGGCUGCUUAAAUUCAA
RNAcentral lists this transfer RNA (63 nucleotides) under Metacrangonyx sp. 4 MDMBR-2012. Its description in RNAcentral is "transfer RNA Glycine". The record is from RNAcentral. Lineage: Eukaryota; Metazoa; Arthropoda; Malacostraca; Amphipoda; Metacrangonyctidae.